GGAGGAUUACCCAAGUCCGGCUUAAGGGAACGGUCUUGAAAACCGUCAGGUCGCGAAAGCGGCGCGUGGGUUCGAAUCCCACAUCCUCCUUCA
RNAcentral lists this transfer RNA (93 nucleotides) under Companilactobacillus halodurans. Its description in RNAcentral is "Lactobacillus halodurans tRNA-Ser". It matches the Rfam family "tRNA". From Rfam's summary of the family: Transfer RNA (tRNA) molecules are approximately 80 nucleotides in length. Their secondary structure includes four short double-helical elements and three loops (D, anti-codon, and T loops). Further hydrogen bonds mediate the characteristic L-shaped molecular structure. tRNAs have two regions of fundamental functional importance: the anti-codon, which is responsible for specific mRNA codon recognition, and the 3' end, to which the tRNAs corresponding amino acid is attached (by aminoacyl-tRNA synthetases). tRNAs cope with the degeneracy of the genetic code in two manners: having more than one tRNA (with a specific anti-codon) for a particular amino acid; and 'wobble' base-pairing, i.e. permitting non-standard base-pairing at the 3rd anti-codon position. Lineage: Bacteria; Bacillati; Bacillota; Bacilli; Lactobacillales; Lactobacillaceae. The record is from RNAcentral.